CGACCCUCCCACCCCACGCGUGUCUGCACCCCCUAAAGCUGUGACCGAGGGGGCUUAAAGGAGAAGGAGGCCAUUACCCACUGCAGCCCCGUUAGUGCUGCCCAAAGUGGGAGCAGACCCCAAGCAGCGCCCACAAAAUUCCCCCUCCCCAGUGGUUUUUUAUCGCUCUCCCCCGUUUUUCCCGUGUGGGGAACCGGGAGAAGCUGGAAGCACAGUGGGGUGACCCACUGAGGACUGGGAAUGCCGUCGGUCUGGAUGGGGCGGGAUGUCCCAGAGUGGUGGGAAAUGUUGGGGGAAAGGGGUGCUUUACUUCAUGUUGGGUUGGUUUUGAACUUGGGGAAAUUUGGGGGAAUUUGGGGUGGGUUUGGGCCUUGGGAUGCCAUUGGGGCCUUGUGAGUGGCUCGCAAUGGCAAGACCCCAAAACCUGCUUGUGGAAAGGGGUCAGGGUGAAACCCCUUCCCCAAGGAGGGUCCGGGAAGGGGGGGAGAUGAGUUGAGGUGCUGUUUUCUCUGUAAAUCAUGGAAGCAGCCUCUCAGACGAGGCUUGGAACAGCCUGGUCUGGUGUAAGGUGUCCCUGCCCACGGCAGGAGGGUCAGGACUGGAUGGGCCUUUAGGUCUUUUCCAACCCAACCCAUUCUGGAGCUGUAGGAUUCCAUGAAAACCACCUCACGGCGGGAGAAGGGCUGGAUGGAGCACGGAGGGGGGAAUUACGGCCGGAGAGAGAACUCUUGGGACUGCUUUAGGUUUCACCAGCAGAUUCCCCCGGCUGAACCCCUCGGCUGGGCUGAAUUUAGCAGCAGAAGAGAUAACCAGCAGAUAAGGACUGAUACCCUGGGAGGACAGCGGGAGACAAUGGGCGGACAAGGGGAGAGAAGCCGGAGGCAGCGUUGGGAAGGGCUGCCUAUCCAGAUGUGCCGGGUUCGGGACAUUCAUCUUCCCUUCCUUUGCAAAAUCACCGAUGGUUUUCUCUCCCAAAACAGCUUUUCACUAAAGUUUCGUUGUAUUCUUGCAGAAAAGCGGCUUUUUCCUUGGUAAAAUAAAAAAUAGAAAAAGAAAAAAAAAAAAGAGAAAAAAAAAAAAAGGAAAAACAAACCCCGAAACAACCAAACAAAACCAAUUUAUAUUUAUUAAACCCUCCCAAGCAGCAACACCAGGAGCAGAGAAGAUUUCAAGGACCUGUUUUGGCUUUGCUACUUCCAGGAAAAAUGGUACAAAAGCGAUUGCCGUGGAUUGUUUGGCGUGAAGAGUGGCCGGAUCCAGCCCUUUCUGCAGGGAAUUAUCGGCCGGUGGGGCCGGGAAUGGCAGGGACGUGCAUCCCGAAAAUCGGGAGCUGAGGAGCCGCACCGAGCCCAGCCCGGCGAGACCCAAGAGCCGGCAGGGAGAGGAUGGAUUUAGGACACAAUUUCUCCCGGAAAAAGCAGACGGGACACAGCAAAACGCAGCGGCAGAAAAAAAAACCCAAACCAAACCCAAAACUCUGUUCUGCACGCGGUGGAGACUUUUUUUUUUUCUUGCGAUUAACGAAAUCUGUGUGAAAAUAACCCAGGGGAACAAACUUUGGCCUUGCCUCUCUCCUUUCCAGCCUUCAGUUCUGCCCCAGGCAGGAAAAAAAUCGAUACGAAAAUAUGCUUAUU
Parus major (Great Tit) is the source of this 1634-nucleotide long non-coding RNA. RefSeq lists it as uncharacterized. The record is from RefSeq and is a predicted model, not a curated record. The transcript is spliced from 2 exons. NCBI's taxonomy places the organism in Eukaryota, Metazoa, Chordata, Aves, Passeriformes, Paridae.